RNAcentral lists this ribosomal RNA (253 nucleotides) under uncultured bacterium. RNAcentral describes it as "partial 16S ribosomal RNA". It matches the Rfam family "Bacterial small subunit ribosomal RNA", at positions 524 to 776 of the family's 1533-position model. The record is from RNAcentral.
UACGGAGGAUGCGAGCGUUAUCCGGAUUCAUUGGGUUUAAAGGGUGCGCAGGCGGGGCAUUAAGUCAGUGGUGAAAUAAGACGGCUCAACUGUCUGGCUGCCAUUGAUACUGAUGUUCUAGAGUGUAAUUGGAGUGGGCGGAAUGUGUCAUGUAGCGGUGAAAUGCUUAGAUAUGACACAGAACACCGAUCGCGAAGGCAGCUCACUAAGUUAAUACUGACGCUCAUGCACGAAAGCGUGGGGAUCAAACAGG